UGCAAGUAGAACGCUGAGAGAGGAGCUUGCUCUUCUUGGAUGAGUUGCGAACGGGUGAGUAACGCGUAGGUAACCUGCCUUGUAGCGGGGGAUAACUAUUGGAAACGAUAGCUAAUACCGCAUAACAAUGGAUGACACAUGUCAUUUAUUUGAAAGGGGCAAUUGUUCCACUACAAGAUGGACCUGCGUUGUAUUAGCUAGUAGGUGAGGUAAUGGCUCACCUAGGCGACGAUACAUAGCCGACCUGAGAGGGUGAUCGGCCACACUGGGACUGAGACACGGCCCAGACUCCUACGGGAGGCAGCAGUAGGGAAUCUUCGGCAAUGGGGGCAACCCUGACCGAGCAACGCCGCGUGAGUGAAGAAGGUUUUCGGAUCGUAAAGCUCUGUUGUAAGUCAAGAACGGGUGUGAGAGUGGAAAGUUCACACUGUGACGGUAGCUUACCAGAAAGGGACGGCUAACUACGUGCCAGCAGCCGCGGUAAUACGUAGGUCCCGAGCGUUGUCCGGAUUUAUUGGGCGUAAAGCGAGCGCAGGCGGUUUGAUAAGUCUGAAGUUAAAGGCUGUGGCUCAACCAUAGUUCGCUUUGGAAACUGUCAAACUUGAGUGCAGAAGGGGAGAGUGGAAUUCCAUGUGUAGCGGUGAAAUGCGUAGAUAUAUGGAGGAACACCGGUGGCGAAAGCGGCUCUCUGGUCUGUAACUGACGCUGAGGCUCGAAAGCGUGGGGAGCGAACAGGAUUAGAUACCCUGGUAGUCCACGCCGUAAACGAUGAGUGCUAGGUGUUGGAUCCUUUCCGGGAUUCAGUGCCGCAGCUAACGCAUUAAGCACUCCGCCUGGGGAGUACGACCGCAAGGUUGAAACUCAAAGGAAUUGACGGGGGCCCGCACAAGCGGUGGAGCAUGUGGUUUAAUUCGAAGCAACGCGAAGAACCUUACCAGGUCUUGACAUCCCGAUGCUAUUUCUAGAGAUAGAAAGUUACUUCGGUACAUCGGUGACAGGUGGUGCAUGGUUGUCGUCAGCUCGUGUCGUGAGAUGUUGGGUUAAGUCCCGCAACGAGCGCAACCCCUAUUGUUAGUUGCCAUCAUUCAGUUGGGCACUCUAGCGAGACUGCCGGUAAUAAACCGGAGGAAGGUGGGGAUGACGUCAAAUCAUCAUGCCCCUUAUGACCUGGGCUACACACGUGCUACAAUGGUUGGUACAACGAGUUGCGAGUCGGUGACGGCGAGCUAAUCUCUUAAAGCCAAUCUCAGUUCGGAUUGUAGGCUGCAACUCGCCUACAUGAAGUCGGAAUCGCUAGUAAUCGCGGAUCAGCACGCCGCGGUGAAUACGUUCCCGGGCCUUGUACACACCGCCCGUCACACCACGAGAGUUUGUAACACCCGAAGUCGGUGAGGUAACCUUUUGAGCC
This 1408-nucleotide ribosomal RNA is filed under the name Streptococcus thermophilus. Its description in RNAcentral is "bacterial SSU rRNA". It matches the Rfam family "Bacterial small subunit ribosomal RNA". The record is from RNAcentral. Lineage: Bacteria; Bacillati; Bacillota; Bacilli; Lactobacillales; Streptococcaceae.